UACGGAGGGUGCAAACGUUGCUCGGAAUCAUUGGGCGUAAAGCGCACGUAGGCGGUGCAGUAAGUCGGAUGUGAAGGCCCUCGGCUCAACCGAGGAAGUGCAUUCGAAACUGCUGUGCUUGAGUACGGAAGAGGGUCUCGGAAUUCCCGGUGUAGAGGUGAAAUUCGUAGAUAUCGGGAGGAACACCAGUGGCGAAGGCGGAGACCUGGGCCGAUACUGACGCUGAGGUGCGAAAGCGUGGGGAGCAAACAGG
RNAcentral lists this ribosomal RNA (253 nucleotides) under uncultured bacterium. Its description in RNAcentral is "partial 16S ribosomal RNA". It matches the Rfam family "Bacterial small subunit ribosomal RNA", at positions 524 to 776 of the family's 1533-position model. The record is from RNAcentral.